Molecule: transfer RNA, 72 nt
Filed under: Anaerolineae bacterium
Lineage: Bacteria; Bacillati; Chloroflexota; Anaerolineae
Also listed under: 1 other name
Description: tRNA-Gly
Rfam family: tRNA
About the family: Transfer RNA (tRNA) molecules are approximately 80 nucleotides in length. Their secondary structure includes four short double-helical elements and three loops (D, anti-codon, and T loops).
Source: RNAcentral
GCGGGUAUAGUUCAGUGGUAGAACGUCUGCUUCCCAAGCAGGAUGUCAUGAGUUCGAAUCUCAUUACCCGCU